AUGAACGCUGGCGGCGUGCCUAAUACAUGCAAGUCGAGCGAACAGACGAGGAGCUUGCUCCUCUGACGUUAGCGGCGGACGGGUGAGUAACACGUGGAUAACCUACCUAUAAGACUGGGAUAACUUCGGGAAACCGGAGCUAAUACCGGAUAAUAUAUUGAACCGCAUGGUUCAAUAGUGAAAGACGGUUUUGCUGUCACUUAUAGAUGGAUCCGCGCCGCAUUAGCUAGUUGGUAAGGUAACGGCUUACCAAGGCAACGAUGCGUAGCCGACCUGAGAGGGUGAUCGGCCACACUGGAGCUGAGACACGGUCCAGACUCCUACGGGAGGCAGCAGUAGGGAAUCUUCCGCAAUGGGCGAAAGCCUGACGGAGCAACGCCGCGUGAGUGAUGAAGGUCUUCGGCUCGUAAAACUCUGUUAUUAGGGAAGAACAAAUGUGUAAGUAACUAUGCACGUCUUGACGGUACCUAAGCAGAAAGCCACGGCUAACUACGU
RNAcentral lists this ribosomal RNA (495 nucleotides) under uncultured bacterium. Its description in RNAcentral is "partial 16S ribosomal RNA". It matches the Rfam family "Bacterial small subunit ribosomal RNA", at positions 29 to 506 of the family's 1533-position model. The record is from RNAcentral.